Mobula hypostoma (lesser devil ray) is the source of this 68-nucleotide small nucleolar RNA. RefSeq annotates it as small nucleolar RNA SNORD58. The transcript has a single exon. The record is from RefSeq and is a predicted model, not a curated record. Lineage: Eukaryota; Metazoa; Chordata; Chondrichthyes; Myliobatiformes; Myliobatidae.
UGGCAAUGAUGACCAUCUUAGGACACCUUUAGAAUAAUAAUGAAAACAAUACUAUUACUCUGAGCUUC